ACACUACUACAAAAGUUUACAUACAUAACAGUGAAUAGAUAACGGUUUUUUUCAAAAACCGUUAUGUAUGAGCGCACUUUUAGGAAUAGAUAACGGUUUUGCGAAAAUCCGUUAUCUAUGUACUGUUGUCUAAAUGCAUAGAUAACGGUUUGAACAAAUGCGUUAUGUUUUUGCGUUAUCUAUAAGUUGCAUACAUAACGGUAUUACAAAACCGUUGUGCCACCGUUAUCUAUGACCAUCUUUUAUAACAGUAAUUUACAACGGUUUUUGAACCGUUAUGUAUAAGAGUCAUUUACAACGGUUUUUGAACCGUUAUGUAUGAGCGUCUCUAAAAACUGUUAUGUAUAAUUUUUUUUAUUAAUUUUUUUAAAAUAAUUUUCUACAUUCUUAUAUUAUAUUAAAAAAUAACAAAUAAAUUAUUUAUCCUAAAAUUUGAAUUUAUUCCUAGAUAUAGACUUUGAAAAAUAAAAAUUCAUAACAUUUUUUUAUUUUAUCAACACUUAUAUAAAAUGUAAAUUAAAAAUCUAAAUUAGAAAUCUAAAUACCAAAAAUUGAAUAUUAAAAGUGAAAAAAAGAAAAAAAUUUAGGAAAUUUAGAAAUUAACCCCUCCUCCCAAACUAGAAGCCCUAGUUCUCUCGACUCUCUCUCUCCCCUCUCGACUCCGCCGCCGGCGCCGCUGCCCCGAGCCAGCCCGUCGCCGCCCACCCUUGUCGCGCUGCGUCGCGCCGCUGCCGCCCACCCUCGCUACGUCUCAUCUCCUCCCCAAAUCUCUCUCUCACUUCGCGAUCUCUCCCUCUUUGAGAGAUAGUCGCCGCCGCUGCCGAGGCAAGUUCCGGCCACAGAAGCACGCCCCCCCUCUGUCCUCCCCGGCCGCAGCAACGUCAGCCACCAAGCUCGUCGCACUUCCCUCGUCUCCCUCUUAAUCUCCUCUCUCUCUGACUCAAAUGCACGCACACCAUACCGCGCCUGAAAUCCUAGAUCUAUAAUCUACAGCCACCUCCCUGUCGAUUCCCGUCUACCGCACGGCGGGAAGGCCGCCGCCUCCGAGCUCAGCCCAAAGCCCCCUCUGCUCUCCAUACUCCGGCGACAACAGCGACUCCUUGCCGCCGCCGUGCCCUAGCUUCAAUCCGCCGCUGAACUCCCUCUUCCGUGCCCUAGCUUCAAUCCACCGCUUCAAUCUAUACUACUUUGGGUGAAUGAAGAAGCUAACUCUUGCUCACCGUGCAGGUAUGAAUAUAUCGAGAAUCACCUAUUGGGUUCGCCUCAAUAUACAAUUCACAGUAUAGCUCCUUACCAGUCAAAAGACAUUGAGAAAGCAGAGGAGCUAACUUUUGGAUGGAGCACUCUAGGAAAUAGCAAUAGUGAAAACUGCAUCCAAUCGUUCUUGCUACUCUUUAUUAAUGAUCAUUUGCCUGCGGUUUAUCUGUGCAAGUGAGUUCAUUUGCUCAGGUGCUUGACACAACUGCGAUGCUCAGUGUUGUUCCCCCAAGAUACAAGUGGACUGGUGGAGAGAUUGGUUUCUCCACAGCUAUUGGCAAGCAAGAUACAAGAGCCUUCCAUUCAUGAACUUGUUAGAGAACGACUCUGAUGCUGAGGCAAGCCACGAAAUUAUGGCUAUGAACUAUGCAGGUUGAGGUGGCUGUAGUGUUGGUGCUUAAAAAUGGAGAAUUCUGGAGCGGUGGAGGGAAUCGAAUACUGGCUGCAGUGGCAGGUACUGCUUUGCGCCUUCGCCUUUAUCGCCAUGGCUUACUUGCUCUACGAGACUGUUGCUGCCUUCGGAUUCUUCGUCUUCUUUUUCUACACUCAGUCAGUAACUCCUCUCUCUCUCUG
Molecule: long non-coding RNA, 1830 nt
Organism: Salvia miltiorrhiza (redroot sage)
Lineage: Eukaryota; Viridiplantae; Streptophyta; Magnoliopsida; Lamiales; Lamiaceae
Exons: 4
Source: RefSeq, a predicted model, not a curated record